AUUGAACGCUGGCGGCAUGCCUUACACAUGCAAGUCGAACGGCAGCACGGGAGCAAUCCUGGUGGCGAGUGGCGAACGGGUGAGUAAUAUAUCGGAACGUGCCCAGUCGUGGGGGAUAACGCAGCGAAAGAUGUGCUAAUACCGCAUACGAUCUACGGAUGAAAGCGGGGGAUCGCAAGACCUCGCGCGAUUGGAGCGGCCGCUAUCAGAUUAGCGAGUUGGUGGGGUAAAAGCCCACCAAGGCGACGAUCUGUAGCUGGUCUGAGAGGACGACCAGCCACACUGGAACUGAGACACGGUCCAGACUCCUACGGGAGGCAGCAGUGGGGAAUUUUGGACAAUGGGCGCAAGCCUGAUCCAGCAAUGCCGCGUGCAGGAUGAAGGCCUUCGGGUUGUAAACUGCUUUUGUACGGAACGAAACGGCGAGCUCUAAUACAGUUUGCUAAUGACGGUACCGUAAGAAUAAGCACCGGCUAACUACGUGCCAGCCGCCGCGGUAA
Molecule: ribosomal RNA, 500 nt
Filed under: uncultured bacterium
Lineage: Bacteria
Description: partial 16S ribosomal RNA
Rfam family: Bacterial small subunit ribosomal RNA
Source: RNAcentral